Fukomys damarensis (Damara mole-rat) is the source of this 1178-nucleotide long non-coding RNA. RefSeq lists it as uncharacterized. The record is from RefSeq and is a predicted model, not a curated record. NCBI's taxonomy places the organism in Eukaryota, Metazoa, Chordata, Mammalia, Rodentia, Bathyergidae. The transcript is spliced from 3 exons.
AUUCCCGGCUCAGGGUCCCCUCCUCACCCCCACAGCCCUGCCCCUCCAGGCCUCACCUGGAACACGUGGAAGCCCACUGUGAGGCUCAAGAGGGGUCCAAGCUGUGGGAAUCCUGAGACCUCUGGUGCCACCAGAUAAGACAUCAGCUUGGAGAGGGAAUCAGCCCUCCCACAGCUUGGAACCUCCCCACUGCCAGCACAAUGGAACCUGUUGAGAUUCAGGACAAUUCUGGAACAACAGUGUGCUACAAGGCCAUGCAAUGCUGGGGCUUGAGCCCAGGCCCCUGCCCCUACUAGGCCAGCAUCCUACCGCUGAGAUACACCCCAGCCCUCAGGUCCCUUCGGUCAUCUUUCUUCGCCUUCAGAGGUCUUCAGCUAAUGCCCCUGGUUGUUCAUCCCAGACGGCAAGCAAGCCAAUGCCCUGGAGACUGGCGUCAGAUCUCAAUGCCCAGCAGAUGCAGUUUCCUGGCGAGAUGAUCCCGGAAGAAGCUUGGCGUGUCAAUCAGCAGGAGGCAUGUGCUGUUUAGUGGCCUGCAUUUGUAAUGUCUGAAGGAGGUGCUCGGUACCCACAUUCACUAUGCAACUGGGGAGUGCGAAAGUGGGAACUGGCUGGGUGUAGGAGGCUGAGGCAGGAGGAUCACCAUGAGUUCAAGGUUGGCCUGGACUACAUGAUUUACUGGCUUCUUGUGCUCUGCUCGAGGAAGGGUUUUCCACAGAUAGCUAAGUUAAGCAGAAAUAUUCUAGGCAGUCAGACAGGUGAAGCCCUCAAGAGACCAAAACAUCACAACGAUGGCCAGAGACACAUCUGUUAGAGAUCAGUCCUCAAGAUAAAGACAAGAUGACCAGGCCUGAGUAUUUCCUCAAAGCUAAACACCAGGCUUACUGAAGGCUGCAUAGACAUCAGCCACCUCGUGGGUGACCAAGACGCCAGGGCCCAUCAUUUCCCAAAGAAGUUCGUGUUCUUUCCAUACACCCUGUUAUUGACUUGUUUCCCCAUCAGAUCACUAUUACCUAAGUGAUUGUACCUAGAAUCUCAUCGAUCAGUCAUAGCUGUACCCCACAUGGGUUCUGCUCUAUAAAACUUCCCUGUAAAGUGGGGGCUACCCCACUUGGGUUCCCUCCUGUCCUCUCAAAAACUAUUUUCCUACUCUUAACCUCUGUUGUUCCUAGAAUUCAUUU